AAUAGAUACCGGGUAGUCCACGCCGUAAACGAUGAGUGCUAAGUGUUAGGGGGUUUCCACCCCUUAGUGCUGCAGCUAACGCAUUAAGCACUCCGCCUGGGGAGUACGGUCGCAAGACUGAAACUCAAAGGAAUUGACGGGGGCCCGCACAAGCGGUGGAGCAUGUGGUUUAAUUCGAAGCAACGCGAAGAACCUUACCAGGUCUUGACAUCCCGAUGACCGCUCUAGAGAUAGAGCUUUCCCUUCGGGGACAGCGGUGACAGGUGGUGCAUGGUUGUCGUCAGCUCGUGUCGUGAGAUGUUGGGUUAAGUCCCGCAACGAGCGCAACCCUUGUUCUUAGUUGCCAUCAUUCGGUUGGGCACUCUAAGGAGACUGCCGCAGACAAUGCGGAGGAAGGUGGGGAUGACGUCAAAUCAUCAUGCCCCUUAUGACCUGGGCUACACACGUGCUACAAUGGACGGUACAAACGGUUGCGAAGUCGCGAGACGGAGCUAAUCCGAGAAAACCGUUCUCAGUUCGGAUUGCAGG
Molecule: ribosomal RNA, 528 nt
Filed under: uncultured bacterium
Lineage: Bacteria
Description: bacterial SSU rRNA
Rfam family: Bacterial small subunit ribosomal RNA
Source: RNAcentral